RNAcentral lists this long non-coding RNA (329 nucleotides) under Cucumis sativus (cucumber). Its description in RNAcentral is "long non-coding RNA (CSAT_LNC000153)". The record is from RNAcentral. Lineage: Eukaryota; Viridiplantae; Streptophyta; Magnoliopsida; Cucurbitales; Cucurbitaceae.
GGUGGGCUGUGGGACGACUACCGGCGGAGGAUCCACCUUCUUUGGAGGCGGAGGGUUCGCUUUCGGGGGUGGUGGGUCAACCUUUUUGGGCGGAGGAGGGUCCGCCUUUUUGGGCGGAGGUGGGUCCGCCUUUUUGGGCGGAGGUGGAUCGGCUGCCUUUUGGGGCGGAGGAGGGUCGGCGGCUUUACUGGGUGGUGGUGUGUCGGCCUUUUUGGGGGGUGGGGGAUCGGCUUUUUUGGGAGGCGGAGGAUCAACCUUUUGAGGUGGGGGUGGAUCAGGUUUUUUGGAAGGGGGAGGAUCGACUUUUUUGGGUGGUGGAGGAUCGGCGG